CAGUGAUGCAUGGUUCUGACAGCGUAAUUGACCAGUGGAGUAAGGGAACACUACUUUCACCAUCUGGCAUAGAAAGAAUUUUUCCCUCAUGAAGCAUCCAGCGGAAAGUUAUGGUUUUUCCAGACCCAGACAACCUUUCUGAUCCAAGCAAGUACAUUCUAGUUGACUUCCAAAGGUUAGAGUUUCCUUUGACAAGUGUUGUUUUCCCUUGGUAUCCAGAAGUUGGUGAUAUGUUACUUAUCAAAGGCGAUGAUCCAGAACCAUGGCGGGGUUUAGUUCUGGCAGUGCACAUGAGGAACAAAACUGUGCGACUGCAGUUCUUCGUACCACAUCCUCGGUAGGGAAGACAGUCUGGCGUCUGGGUGCGUGAAGGUACACGACCUCAAGAAGUGCACUUAAAGAGCAAGCUUGGAAGUUGUAUAGGACAUUGGCAGGGAAACAACAGCAUCUUAAAAGAACUGCAGACUUGGAUGCUACUGACAUUAGAAAAAAAAAUUCCAUUUGGAGAAUGGUUCAUGACACCUUCAGUUAAAGGCGUGGUCUUUCAGGUCUUCAGAGUCUCCCAAAAAUGGAGUCACAGGUUUGGAUCACUUGGAGACUGUGUUACCAACCUACUGGAGCACAUCCUUUGCAGUUCCCCUUAUUCCAGAAUCGGAUAUGGCAGAGGAGGAUCAGGAUAUGAAAAUGCAUGAGGAAAAAGAGCUUUGUAGAGGGUAGACAAUGGAGACAAAAAUAUCAAGGAAACCUUCAGUUACCUUCAGGUCUUCAGUCUCUCAAAAAUGGAGUCACCAGAUUGGAUCACUUGGAGACCCUGUUUCCAACCUACUGAAGCACUUCCUUCACCAAGAUAUGCCAUGGCAUGAAGGUUGAUGGGGUAACCAGGUUCUUGCAAUGGGUGUCAAUGGCAAUGAACAAUAUGAUUGCAGUUCCCAUGAUUCCAGAAUCAGAUCUGGUGAAGGAGGAUCAAGAUAUGAAAACACGUGUGGAAACAGAGCUUUGUGGAGUGCAGACAACAGAGACAAAAAUAUCAAGGAAUUUGGAUACAUCUUCAUUCAAUAAAGACACUGAACCACUCUACUCAAGGAAAACGCUGCAUGCGACAUAAAGCAAUGAUUAUGCUUUAAUUUCAGUAUUGGGGAUUUUAAAAUGUGAGUUUUUGCUUUAGCUAUUAAAUGAAAGGAAAAUA
Molecule: non-coding RNA, 1186 nt
Organism: Pocillopora verrucosa
Lineage: Eukaryota; Metazoa; Cnidaria; Anthozoa; Scleractinia; Pocilloporidae
Source: RefSeq, a predicted model, not a curated record